GAUCGCGUAGCUCAGUCGGUAGAGCACUACCUUGACAUGGUAGGGGUCGUUGGUUCGAGUCCAAUCGUGAUCACCA
Molecule: transfer RNA, 76 nt
Filed under: Sulfurovum sp. UBA12169
Lineage: Bacteria; Pseudomonadati; Campylobacterota; Epsilonproteobacteria; Campylobacterales; Sulfurovaceae
Description: tRNA-Val
Rfam family: tRNA
About the family: Transfer RNA (tRNA) molecules are approximately 80 nucleotides in length.
Source: RNAcentral